RNAcentral lists this long non-coding RNA (627 nucleotides) under Homo sapiens (human). RNAcentral's name for it is "HSALNT0215960". The record is from RNAcentral. Lineage: Eukaryota; Metazoa; Chordata; Mammalia; Primates; Hominidae.
AGGGAGCCCCUCCUCCCUCCAUGUGUCUGUCAAUCUGAGCCCCUUUUCCAUUCAUGUGUCACUCUGAGCCUCUUUCCCACCUCCAUACCCUCCUGCCACCCCUACUUCUUAAUCUUUAACCCCUUUCCCUAAAGGUUUCCCUCCAUGGGCUCUUUCAGAGAAUGUUAUAUUAUCAGGUCAUUUACUCACAGAUAUUUUUGCACCACCUACCACGUGCCUGGCUGCGUGUCCCUGUGCAUGUGUGUUGGUGGUGUGGAUGGCUGGAGAGUGUAGGACGAGGCAGGCAGUAUGGUGGUUGAGAAAGAUGUCAAAGAACAAAGGAAGGUGUUUUGGGGUACAACUUUAUUGAGAUGUAAUCCACAUACACACAAUCCGCCCAUUAAAGCUCACAGCGAAGUGUGUUUUAGUUAUUCACAGAUAUCUGCAACUAUCACCAUAAUCAAUUUAAGAUCAUUUUCAUCACCCCCAAAAGAACUCCAGAGCCUUCAGCUGUCACCUUCACCCUCCAUGCACACCCCCCAGCCCUCAGCAACCAAAAAUCUACUUUCUGUCUCUGGGAAAUUCUUGAAGUGCCCCUGGACUUCAUGAGUCCUCACUGGGUCCCCAGAGGUGCCUGUUGCAACCCAU